AUGAGAUGGCCUAUGUCUGUCCUAGCAAUUGCGAACCAUUUUCAUCAAGCAAAUGAGAAGAACAGGGUGACAAAUGAACAAAGAUGGUUGAAACCCAGUUCAAAUUUUGUUAAGUUAAAUGUAGAUGCCUCCUUCUAUGCGGAUGAGGGUGCUGGAGCAUCGGCGUCAAUCCUUAGAGAUGAGAAGGGUAAUUUUUUGGCAGCUCAGUGCAAAUAUAUUCAGUAUGCAUCUGAUGUAGUAACCUCGGAAGCUAUGGCGAUGAGAGAUGGAUUGAUCUUUGCAAGCUCAUUAGGAUUCAACAGGGUGGAGGCAGAGUCAGAUUCUUCAAUUGUUAUUGACUAUUGCUCGGGACAGACAGAAUGGUGGGAUUUGGCUGCAGCAGUAUUUGCGGAAUGCGUUGACGUGUCUUUAUCAAUUGGGAAGGUUAUCUUUAAACAUUGUGCUCGUUCUUCGAAUCAAGCGGCGCAUGUGCUAGCUAGUUACUGUUUUUGUAAUAAGAUUUGUAGUUCAUGGACUUAUGAGCCCCCGACUUGUCUGGUUUCCAAACUCAUAGACGAUGUAAUUCCUAUUUGA
This 573-nucleotide ribosomal RNA is filed under the name Triticum aestivum (bread wheat). RNAcentral's name for it is "partial small subunit ribosomal RNA". The record is from RNAcentral. Lineage: Eukaryota; Viridiplantae; Streptophyta; Magnoliopsida; Poales; Poaceae.